Molecule: ribosomal RNA, 253 nt
Filed under: uncultured bacterium
Lineage: Bacteria
Description: partial 16S ribosomal RNA
Rfam family: Bacterial small subunit ribosomal RNA
Source: RNAcentral
UACGAAGGGGGCAAGCGUUGUCCGGAUUUAUUGGGCGUAAAGAGCGUGUAGGCGGCUUGGUAGGUCCGCUGUGAAAACUCGAGGCUCAACCUCGAGAUGUCGGCGGAAACCACUUGGCUAGAGUCCGAAAGAGGAGAGUGGAAUUCCCGGUGUAGCGGUGAAAUGCGUAGAUAUCAGAAGGAACAUCAGUGGCGAAAGCGGCUUCCUGGACCAGAACUGACGAUCAGGCUCGAAAGCGUGGGGAGCAAACAGG